CCGGUGGCCGCAGAGAAUAGGCCCAAGCGACUGUUUACCAAAAACAUAGGUUUCUGCUAAGUCGCAAGACGAUGUAUAGGAGAUGACGCCUGCCCGGUGCUGGAAGGUUAAGGGGAUCUGUUAGAGAAAUCGAAGCAGUGAACUUAAGCCCCAGUAAACGGCGGCCGUAACUAUAACGGUCCUAAGGUAGCGAAAUUCCUUGUCGGGUAAGU
This 212-nucleotide ribosomal RNA is filed under the name Clostridioides difficile. Its description in RNAcentral is "partial 23S ribosomal RNA". It matches the Rfam family "Bacterial large subunit ribosomal RNA", at positions 1770 to 1981 of the family's 2925-position model. The record is from RNAcentral. Lineage: Bacteria; Bacillati; Bacillota; Clostridia; Peptostreptococcales; Peptostreptococcaceae.